Molecule: ribosomal RNA, 703 nt
Filed under: uncultured Aerococcus sp.
Lineage: Bacteria; Bacillati; Bacillota; Bacilli; Lactobacillales; Aerococcaceae
Description: bacterial SSU rRNA
Rfam family: Bacterial small subunit ribosomal RNA
Source: RNAcentral
AGAGUUGAUCCGGGCUCAGGACGAACGCUGGCGGUAUGCCUAAUACAUGCAAGUCGAGCGAACAGAUGAAGUGCUUGCACUUCUGACGUUAGCGGCGAACGGGUGAGUAACACGUAAGGAAUCUACCUAUAAGCGGGGGAUAACAUUCGGAAACGGGUGCUAAUACCGCAUAAUAUCUUCUUCCGCAUGGAAGAAGAUUGAAAGACGGCUCUGCUGUCACUUAUAGAUGACCUUGCGGUGCAUUAGUUAGUUGGUGGGGUAACGGCCUACCAAGACGAUGAUGCAUAGCCGACCUGAGAGGGUGAUCGGCCACAUUGGGACUGAGACACGGCCCAAACUCCUACGGGAGGCAGCAGUAGGGAAUCUUCCGCAAUGGGCGAAAGCCUGACGGAGCAAUGCCGCGUGAGUGAAGAAGGCCUUCGGGUCGUAAAACUCUGUUAUAAGAGAAGAACAAAUUGGAGAGUAACUGCUACAGGCUAGACGGGAUCUUAUCAGAAAGCCACGGCUAACUACGUGCCAGCAGCCGCGGGAAUACGUAGGGGGCAAGCGUUGGCCGGAUUAAUUGGGCGGAAAGGGAGCGCAGGGGGUUUCCUAAGGCUGAAGGGAAAGCCCCGGCUUAACCGGGGAGGGGCAUUGGGAACCGGGAAACCUGGAGACAGAAGAGGAAGGGGGAACCCCAUGGGGAGCGGGGGAAAGCGAAGAU